RNAcentral lists this small RNA (964 nucleotides) under Diatrype sp. 1 NV-2015. Its description in RNAcentral is "eukaryotic LSU rRNA". It matches the Rfam family "Eukaryotic large subunit ribosomal RNA", at positions 50 to 960 of the family's 3401-position model. Lineage: Eukaryota; Fungi; Ascomycota; Sordariomycetes; Xylariales; Diatrypaceae. The record is from RNAcentral.
GCGGAGGAAAAGAAACCAACAGGGAUUGCCCUAGUAACGGCGAGUGAAGCGGCAACAGCUCAAAUUUGAAAUCUGGCCUUCGGGUCCGAGUUGUAAUUUGUAGAGGAUGCUUUUGGUGCGGUGCCUUCCGAGUUCCUUGGAACAGGACGCCUUAGAGGGUGAGAGCCCCGUACGGUUGGACACCAAGCCUUUGUAAAGCUCCUUCGACGAGUCGAGUAGUUUGGGAAUGCUGCUCUAAAUGGGAGGUAAAUUUCUUCUAAAGCUAAAUACCGGCCAGAGACCGAUAGCGCACAAGUAGAGUGAUCGAAAGAUGAAAAGUACUUUGAAAAGAGGGUUAAAUAGCACGUGAAAUUGUUGAAAGGGAAGCGUUUAUGACCAGACCUUUGUCAGGCGGAUCAUCCGGUGUUCUUCACCGGUGCACUUCGCCUGGCUUAGGCCAGCAUCGAUUUCUGUAGGGGGACAAAGACCAUGGGAACGUAGCUCUCUUCGGGGAGUGUUAUAGCCCUAGGUGUAAUACCCUUACGGGGAUCGAGGUUCGCGCUUCUGCAAGGAUGCUGGCGUAAUGGUCAUCAAUGACCCGUCUUGAAACACGGACCAAGGAGUCGAACAUUUAUGCGAGUGUUUGGGUGUUAAACCCUCACGCGUAAUGAAAGUGAACGGAGGUGAGAGCCUUUUAUUAGGUGCAUCAUCGACCGAUCCUGAUGUAUUCGGAAGGAUUUGAGUAAGAGCAUAACUGUUCGGACCCGAAAGAUGGUGAACUAUGCGUGGAUAGGGUGAAGCCAGAGGAAACUCUGGUGGAGGCUCGCAGCGGUUCUGACGUGCAAAUCGAUCGUCAAAUCUGCGCAUGGGGGCGAAAGUAAGUUUAUAUAUUCCCUUGACUUUUGUUAACUCUUUUAAUGCAACCGCAUCGCUAACUGGUAUUUUCUCAACAGGACUUAUCGAACCAUCUAGUAGCUGGUACCGC